GAUGAAGAACGCAGCGAAAUGCGAUAAGUAAUGUGAAUUGCAGAAUUCAGUGAAUCAUCGAAUCUUUGAACGCACAUUGCGCCCCUUGGUAUUCCGAGGGGCAUGCCUGUUCGAGCGUCAUUACACCACUCAAGCUAUGCUUGGUAUUGGGCGUCGUCCUUAGUUGGGCGCGCCUUAAAGACCUCGGUGAGGCCACUCCGGCUUUAGGCGUAGUAGAAUUUAUUCGAACGUCUGUCAAAGGAGAGGAACUCUGCCGACUGAAACCUUUAUUUUUCUAGGUUGACCUCGGAUCAGGUAGGGAUACCCGCUGAACUUAAGCAUAUCAAUAAGCGGAGGA
RNAcentral lists this unclassified non-coding RNA (337 nucleotides) under soil metagenome. Its description in RNAcentral is "partial contains 5.8S ribosomal RNA, internal transcribed spacer 2, and large subunit ribosomal RNA". The stretch from base 1 to 120 matches the Rfam family "5.8S ribosomal RNA", at positions 35 to 154 of the family's 154-position model. The record is from RNAcentral.